UACAGAGGGUGCGAGCGUUAAUCGGAAUUACUGGGCGUAAAGCGUGCGCAGGCGGUUGGUUAAGUCUGAUGUGAAAGCCCCGGGCUCAACCUGGGAAUGGCAUUGGAAACUGGCUGGCUAGAGUGUGGCAGAGGGGGGUGGAAUUCCGCGUGUAGCAGUGAAAUGCGUAGAGAUGCGGAGGAACACCGAUGGCGAAGGCAGCCCCCUGGGCUGACACUGACGCUCAGGCACGAAAGCGUGGGGAGCAAACAGG
Molecule: ribosomal RNA, 253 nt
Filed under: uncultured bacterium
Lineage: Bacteria
Description: partial 16S ribosomal RNA
Rfam family: Bacterial small subunit ribosomal RNA
Source: RNAcentral